Molecule: long non-coding RNA, 754 nt
Organism: Sapajus apella (tufted capuchin)
Lineage: Eukaryota; Metazoa; Chordata; Mammalia; Primates; Cebidae
Exons: 3
Source: RefSeq, a predicted model, not a curated record
CUUCCAGAAGAUGAAAGACAAAUGAGGCCCAAAUCCCAACGGAAACCUGGCUUCAUUGAUUAGGCCAAAUGUGUUUCAGAAUGAUUGGUUUUUAACCCCCAAGCUGACAUCUUACCGCCCACUGAGCAAUGGUAUGCAGAAAAAUAAGAUACAAAGCAUGCUGUUCAGGAAGCUGUGAGUGGUUUCUGACUCCUUCCGCAAGAUCACACCCAGGCGUCCCCAACACAAUCACCAGCAUGCCUGACUAGGGAUGAGAAAAUGAACCAAGACUGCCAAAACCUAACAUGAUACUGAUGAGCCACUUCCACCGCUCCCCAACCCGUGUGAAGUCAAAAAUUAUAAACAGUCUUCCUCAGUGACCUUUAGCUAUCUUCCCUGUAUUUGCCUGGGGUCAUUCUUGGCAAGGCUGUGUCACUUGGGAUUAUGAAAUGUUAGUAUGCCAACAUAAGACAGCACACUUGAAAUGGGAGCUUGCCCUGGCCUUAGGUUCAGAAAGCACCCACAUGGAAGACUUGCCAUUUUGCCCCAUUGGCCAUCAGGCCUACUGUCUUUCCACCACUAGCUCGGUCCCUUUUUCCUUCUGUAGCUUUUUCCUCCAGGAAGACUCCACAUUUCCAAAUCUGACAGUCUGUGGCAAGUCCUAAACAUUUACCUUUCUUUUUCCCUUUUUACAUUUAUUUUUUUCAGAGUCCCGACACAGGCUUUCAGCUUUAUUUAAUUUAAUCAGGUUGCCAACUUCUAAUGGUAUCUAUAG